GUCUUGAGUCUUCUUCAUGACUUGGUGAAGUCAGUGAAAGGAUUUAUAACUAGUUGGAUGGAUCAGAUUAAGCUUAAUCUUUUUUUAUCUGACUUGGUGAAGUCAGUGGGAGAAUUAAGAAUAGCUGGUCAAAUCUCUUCUUUAAAUUAACUCUUAAAUCCUCUAGAUUAUUAGGUCCAUAAAAUGAACUGAUUAUGGUGAUAAUUAGAUCAUAG
RNAcentral lists this long non-coding RNA (215 nucleotides) under Elaeis guineensis (African oil palm). RNAcentral's name for it is "long non-coding RNA (EGUI_LNC082402)". Lineage: Eukaryota; Viridiplantae; Streptophyta; Magnoliopsida; Arecales; Arecaceae. The record is from RNAcentral.